GUAGAGGAAGAGGACAUGGUCUUUGUCUUCUUUCUCCUCAGUUGCAGACUCAUUUUUCUCUCAGUCUUCAUAAUUACAUUGUCUGAUUUAGAGUGUGAUUACAUUAAUGCUAGAUCAUGUUGCUCAAAAUUAAACAAGUGGGUAAUUUCCAAGAUUGAUUGGCCAUACUAUUGUCACUGUAUUAUGCGCAUUUUGUUGCAUUGGUUCAUAUUCCUUCUCAACUUACCUCUUGCCACUUGGAAUAUAUAUUGAUUCAUUAUGGUGCCAAGCAGUAACAUAGGAGUGUUUGAUCCAACAGAAAUACACAAUCAAGGAUAGCAAAAGUAACACAUGAAAGACCAUAAUCAAGCUUAAUUUCCACUUGCUCUGUUUUUUCACGUAUCUUUAAACUAUGGUUUUAGCUUCGAUAAAUGACUGA
RNAcentral lists this long non-coding RNA (418 nucleotides) under Homo sapiens (human). RNAcentral's name for it is "non-protein coding lnc-KIAA0408-3:1". Lineage: Eukaryota; Metazoa; Chordata; Mammalia; Primates; Hominidae. The record is from RNAcentral.